GAUGAACGCUGGCGGCGUGCCUAAUACAUGCAAGUCGAGCGAACAGAUGAGGAGCUUGCUCCUCUGACGUUAGCGGCGGACGGGUGAGUAACACGUGGAUAACCUACCUAUAAGACUGGGAUAACUUCGGGAAACCGGAGCUAAUACCGGAUAAUAUAUUGAACCGCAUGGUUCAAUAGUGAAAGACGGUUUUGCUGUCACUUAUAGAUGGAUCCGCGCCGCAUUAGCUAGUUGGUAAGGUAACGGCUUACCAAGGCAACGAUGCGUAGCCGACCUGAGAGGGUGAUCGACCACACUGGAACUGAGACACGGUCCAGACUCCUACGGGAGGAAGCAGUAGGGAAUCUUCCGCAAUGGGCGAAAGCCUGACGGAGCAACGCCGCGGGAGUGAUGAAGGUCUUCGGAUCGUAAAACUCUGUUAGUAGGGAAGAACAAAUGUGUAAGUAACUAUGCACGUCUUGACGGUACCUAAUCAGAAAGCCACGGCUAACUACGUG
Molecule: ribosomal RNA, 497 nt
Filed under: uncultured bacterium
Lineage: Bacteria
Description: partial 16S ribosomal RNA
Rfam family: Bacterial small subunit ribosomal RNA
Source: RNAcentral